UGCGUAGGCGGUUGGGUAAGUCAGAGGUGAAAUUCCGGGGCUCAACCUCGGAACUGCCUUUGAUACUGCCUGACUAGAGUACUGGAGAGGAGACGGGAAUUCACGGUGUAGCAGUGAAAUGCGUAGAUAUCGUGAGGAAGACCAGUGGCGAAGGCGAGUCUCUGGACAGUUACUGACGCUGAGGCACGAAGGCUAGGGGAGCAAACG
This 207-nucleotide ribosomal RNA is filed under the name uncultured bacterium. RNAcentral describes it as "partial 16S ribosomal RNA". It matches the Rfam family "Bacterial small subunit ribosomal RNA", at positions 568 to 774 of the family's 1533-position model. The record is from RNAcentral.